UGGGGGAUAUUGCACAAUGGGGGAAACCCUGAUGCAGCGACGCCGCGUGAAGGAAGAAGGUUUUCGGAUUGUAAGCUCCUGUCGUUAGGGACGAUAAUGACGGUACCUAACAAGAAAGCACCGGCUAACUACGUGCCAGCAGCCGCGGUAAAACGUAGGGUGCAAGCGUUGUCCGGAAUUACUGGGUGUAAAGGGAGCGCAGGCGGGAAGACAAGUUGGAAGUGAAAACCAUGGGCUCAACCCAUGAAUUGCUUUCAAAACUGUUUUUCUUGAGUAGUGCAGAGGUAGAUGGAAUUCCCGGUGUAGCGGUGGAAUGCGUAGAUAUCGGGAGGAACACC
This 338-nucleotide ribosomal RNA is filed under the name uncultured bacterium. RNAcentral's name for it is "bacterial SSU rRNA". It matches the Rfam family "Bacterial small subunit ribosomal RNA", at positions 355 to 710 of the family's 1533-position model. The record is from RNAcentral.